Rhinichthys klamathensis goyatoka is the source of this 263-nucleotide long non-coding RNA. RefSeq lists it as uncharacterized. The transcript has 2 exons. The record is from RefSeq and is a predicted model, not a curated record. Lineage: Eukaryota; Metazoa; Chordata; Actinopteri; Cypriniformes; Leuciscidae.
UAUAAAGUCAGAAUUUAUUGAUAUAAAGUCGCAAUUGCGUGUUAUAAAGUCAGAAUUGCGAGAUAUAAAGUCAGAAUUGUGAGAUAUAAAUUAGUCUUUUUCCCCCUUAGAAUUGGCCUGAUAACUCGCAAUUGCGAGUUUAUAUCUCACAAUUCUGAGAAAAGAUGUCAGAAUUUCGAGAUAUAAACUCGCAAUUAUGUGUUAUAAAGUCAGAAUUGCGAGAUGUAAACUUGCAAUUGUGAGAAAAAAAGUCAGAAUUGUGA